GAUGAACGCUGGCGGCGUGCUUAACACAUGCAAGUCGAACGGUGAAGGCGGAGCUUGCUCUGCUGGAUCAGUGGCGAACGGGUGAGUAACACGUGAGCAAUCUGCCCCUGACUCUGGGAUAAGCGCUGGAAACGGCGUCUAAUACUGGAUACGAGCUGCGAAGGCAUCUUCAGCAGCUGGAAAGAACUUCGGUCAGGGAUGAGCUCGCGGCCUAUCAGCUUGUUGGUGAGGUAACGGCUCACCAAGGCGUCGACGGGUAGCCGGCCUGAGAGGGUGAUCGGCCACACUGGGACUGAGACACGGCCCAGACUCCUACGGGAGGCAGCAGUGGGGAAUAUUGCACAAUGGGCGAAAGCCUGAUGCAGCAACGCCGCGUGAGGGACGACGGCCUUCGGGUUGUAAACCUCUUUUAGCAGGGAAGAAGCGAAAGUGACGGUACCUGCAGAAAAAGCGCCGGCUAACUACGUG
This 468-nucleotide ribosomal RNA is filed under the name uncultured bacterium. RNAcentral's name for it is "partial 16S ribosomal RNA". It matches the Rfam family "Bacterial small subunit ribosomal RNA", at positions 28 to 507 of the family's 1533-position model. The record is from RNAcentral.